RNAcentral lists this ribosomal RNA (215 nucleotides) under uncultured bacterium. Its description in RNAcentral is "partial 16S ribosomal RNA". It matches the Rfam family "Bacterial small subunit ribosomal RNA", at positions 30 to 245 of the family's 1533-position model. The record is from RNAcentral.
AUUGAACGCUGGCGGCAUGCCUUACACAUGCAAGUCGAGCGGCAGCGCGGGGGCAACCCUGGCGGCGAGCGGCGGACGGGUGAGUAAUACAUCGGAACGUGUCCUUUCGUGGGGAGUAACCAGUCGAAGACUGGCUAAUACCGCAUGAGAGUCUCACGAUGAAAGCGGGGACCCGCAAGGCCUCGCGCGAUUGGAGCGGCCGAUGUCGGAUUAGC